AGAAUCAACGCUGGCGGCGUGCCUAACACAUGCAAGUCGAACGCGGUUGUUCAGCAAUGGACAACUGAGUGGCGAAUGGGUGAGUAACACGUGGGUGACCUACCUUCGAAUGGGGGAUAACGUCCCGAAAGGGACGCUAAUACCGCAUAACAUCCUGCUUUUGAACAGGUGGAGAUCAAAGCCGGGGAUCGCAAGACCCGGCGUUUGAAGAGGGGCCCGCGUCCGAUUAGCUAGUUGGUGGGGUAACGGCUCACCAAGGCGACGAUC
This 267-nucleotide ribosomal RNA is filed under the name uncultured soil bacterium. RNAcentral describes it as "partial 16S ribosomal RNA". It matches the Rfam family "Bacterial small subunit ribosomal RNA", at positions 26 to 281 of the family's 1533-position model. The record is from RNAcentral.